UUGAAGAAAUUCUUGGUAUGCAUGUAUGGUAUGUCCUUUUUACGUGUUCAUGUCAUUAUUAGUAUUACUUUACAGGGGGAAACAACCAUUCGUAUAGGCCACCCUACAUAAGUGACUCUUUUAACAAAAACCGACAAAAUCCAACGAAAUUCACAGACACCAUGAAAGAAAUUGCCAAUGAGAAGACAAAAGAAACACCCAAGGAAUCAUCAGUCAAAAACAAACAGAAGGAAACUGACAGUCAGAAUAAAAGAGACCUAAACAAAGAAUCAACUGAUGAAGAUGAAUCGAGAACAUCAAAAGUUGGAGAUGAAAAUAUGGAUCGUGGUGGGAAAGGCAAUGAAAUAUAUG
This is a long non-coding RNA of Daphnia pulicaria, 351 nucleotides long. RefSeq lists it as uncharacterized. Lineage: Eukaryota; Metazoa; Arthropoda; Branchiopoda; Diplostraca; Daphniidae. The record is from RefSeq and is a predicted model, not a curated record. The transcript has 3 exons.